RNAcentral lists this ribosomal RNA (415 nucleotides) under uncultured bacterium. RNAcentral describes it as "bacterial SSU rRNA". It matches the Rfam family "Bacterial small subunit ribosomal RNA", at positions 358 to 772 of the family's 1533-position model. The record is from RNAcentral.
GGAAUAUUGGGCAAUGGGCGAAAGCCUGACCCAGCCACGCCGCGUGCGGGAAGAAGGCCCACAGGGUUGUAAACCGCUUUUCUCCGGGAAUAAGGACCUGGCCUCCAGGUUUUGCAGGUACCGGAAGAAUAAGCACCGGCUAACUACGUGCCAGCAGCCGCGGUAAUACGUAGGGUGCAAGCGUUAAUCGGAAUUACUGGGCGUAAAGCGUGCGCAGGCGGCUAUGCAAGACAGGUGUGAAAUCCCCGGGCUUAACCUGGGAACUGCACUUGUGACUGCAUGGCUAGAGUGCGUCAGAGGGAGGUGGAAUUCCGCGUGUAGCAGUGAAAUGCGUAGAGAUGCGGAGGAACACCGAUGGCGAAGGCAGCCUCCUGGGAUGACACUGACGCUCAUGCACGAAAGCGUGGGGAGCAAA